RNAcentral lists this ribosomal RNA (774 nucleotides) under uncultured Neocallimastigales. RNAcentral describes it as "partial large subunit ribosomal RNA". It matches the Rfam family "Eukaryotic large subunit ribosomal RNA", at positions 22 to 648 of the family's 3401-position model. The record is from RNAcentral. Lineage: Eukaryota; Fungi; Neocallimastigomycota; Neocallimastigomycetes; Neocallimastigales.
GUACACGCUGUGACUAGCAUAUCAAUAAGCGGAGGAAAAGAAACUAACAAGGAUUCCCUCAGUAACGGCGAGUGAAGCGGGAAGAGCUCAAAUUUGAAAUCUUGAAAGGUCACCUUUCACGAAUUGUAGUUUAAAGAAGUGUUUUCUGUUACGAUCGUAAUAUAAGUUCUUUGGAAUUGGACAUCACAGAGGGUGAGAAUCCCGUCUAUGAUUGCGAUUUGUAGCUUUGUGAUACACUUUCAAAGAGUCGGGUUGUUUGGGAAUGCAGCCCAAAAUGGGUAGGUAAAUUUCAUCUAAAGCUAAAUAUUGGCGAGAGACCGAUAGCGAACAAGUACCGUGAGGGAAAGAUGAAAAGAACUUUGAAAAGAGAGUUAAACAGUACGUGAAAUUGUCAAAAGGGAAGCGUUUGACACCAGUGUUGUUUUCUCGAAAAUCAAUUAAAAAUGGCUCGAUUUUGUAUUGCUGAGACCUUAAAAGCUCACUGUACAUUUUUCGUGUCUUUUUUAAUGCACUUUUCGUUUAACAAGUCAACAUCAGUUUCUUUUGUUGUAAAAGGGUCAUUGGAAGGUGGCUUUCUUUUCGGAGAAAGUGUUUAUAGCCUUUGGCCUCUGCAAUCGGAGAGACUGAGGUCUGCAGCGUAGACUCUUCGGGGUUAGAUACAUUUGUGCUAAGUUAUAGCUUUUUAUAGACAACUUGUUGACUAUAAUUAGUCUUGUAGCUUACUCGCUUAUGCUAUUUUACCUACGCUUAGGAUGUUGAGUAGCGACAUACGAC